AAAAAAAUUCUACAAACAAAAAGGGCACUUGGACAUUUUGAGGGCACUUGAACAAUUUUGGGGGGGGACGCGUCCCCCUGGUCCCCCCCCCCCCCCCUUGGAUCCGCCCAUGUUGAUUAUUCACUAAAGAUUUUCCAAUAUGUUUUUUUUUCCUGCUACAAAACUAAAUUAAUUGAUUAUAAUUUUUUAUGGGUGUAUAGUGUUUAAAUUUCUAAGUAAAAGUUAAUGAAUAAAAAAAGAGUUGCAGAUAGUCUGCCAUUAAAUUUUAUGCAACUUUGAGAUAUCACCUUUAAAAAGUUCAGUGGUUAACACAUUUGUUAAGGUAUGUGGUCAUCCUAUAAUAUUGUACAGUACGUUUGGCUAAAACUUGGUGUCCUGGGCCCAUAUUUUCGAAGCAAUCUUAGCCUGCGAAAUCGUAAUAUCACAAGCUAUGACGUCACUAUGGAGUGUGUUGUUUUAUGAUUUUGUAGCAGUAAGAUGACUUUGAAAAUAUGGGCCAUGCUUCGGAUAUUCGUUUCUAUACAAAGAUAUUUUAAUAAUUUUAAUGUCACAAGAAGCUCAAAACAGUUCAUUGAUAUGACCAUUUGACAUACAUCAGAAAUUUAACAAUACUGUUGGAGUUGUUUUUUUAUAAACUUUAUUCAGAAAUACAUCCUUCUGGAUUAUCCGAAUGUGUCACACAUCAGAAGACUUAAGUUGAUUACAGAAGAAAAUAUUUGUUUGUCUCCAGACAUUGUUUUAACACUUACGAUUUUGGAGUGCAAGUGACAAUAUUUCAAAAUUUUACCUAAACCUAACACCAUUAUACAGUAUACUUUGUACAUUUAGAAAUUACGUUUUAAACUGAAUUAUUUUUCAGUGAUAGUAUUUUGAUGUUCUAUCAUCAAGUGUGUCAAAAGUCAGUCUAGAACUAUAUGCAGCUUUUAAGUUUAGAACAUAACAGUUCACAACUUAGCUGUUUUAACGGUUUGCUUGAUUUUAAAUUUUGGAAAAUGGCUAUUUUAGGCUAAGUUUUAGCCAGAAAUCCCCCCCCCCCCACCCCCCAAAUGCAACUGUUAUAUGAAAAUUAGGUACUUUUAAGACAUUCAGUGGUUUGUCCACAUUACAUAAUCCCUAUUUCAUUAAAAAGUUCAGUGAUUAGCACAUUUAUAAUCCUUGAUUCAUUAAAAAUUCAUUCAUCAGCACAUCGGUAUGGUAAUAUUCUUCGGUUUUAUAAGACGUUCAGGUGUAUUAUUUAUUCAUAUAUUAUCCCUAAAUCCCUGAGAAGUUGAUUGGCUAGCACAUUUGUAAUGUUCAGCCUAUUCUAGGGUCCAGUUUACCACACAUAAUAUUAGUGUUUGGACAGUGUUACGGGCUAUCCAACAUGUAAUGAUAGAUUAAUACUGUUCCUGUGGCCAUAGAGUUAGUGAUCAGCACAUUUGGAUUCUAUGCAAUGUCUUACCAGGAGGAGAACUAUUUCCAACAGACAGUUGGUGGUGCCCAGAUUUGUUAUUUGUUUAGUUUUGCUGUCUAGAAUAAUUAUACAAUUUAGAAAUUAAGUUAAUUUCUUACUUAUUAAUAACAUGGUUCUCUCUUUCUGUCUCUUAUUUUCUAUUAAUAUUUUAUAAUUAUUAUUUUAUUUUUAUUUUUUUAUUAUUAUUAUUUUAUUUUUUUAGCAGGGGUGGGGGGUGGGGGGACACAGUAUGUGCCGGUUUAAAAAAAAAAAAAAUUCCAUCUACAGUGUUCUGCUGUUUUUCUGUGACAUUCUGAUUCAGUAUCUACUCGCUAACAACAUUGAUCAAUGUAACUUGAUGCAAUUAAUAAAUUUUUACAUUAUUCAUUUUAAACGUUUUGAAAAACCACACCAAUGCAAAGAGAAUACCUCUCAUUAAACGUUUGUCGUUACGGUUUUAAACGUAAUCUAUAAGCAUGUGCUCACAAAAUUAUCCAUUUGGAAUUUCAUUUAUAUUUCAGAAUUAAUAUUUGUAGUAAUAUCUACAAAUUAUUCAAGUUUUAUUUGAUGUAAAUUAUGAAAGUUUUUUUAAAUUUUACAAGGACUAGAUCACUGUUGGUUGCAUCAACUACUAUAAGAAACUGAUAUUAUACUUUAAAAAUAUGGUGAUUACAGCUUCUUGAUAAUGGCCUUCUUAAUUUUCUGAUAUGUAUUAACUCGCUAAUAUUUAGUGGUGUACAGCACAUUCUCAUAUAUAUAUGAUUUUGUUAUAGCUAUGUUGUUGUAGUGUGAUUUGAUCAUAAAACUUGCAGUAGUGAAUCAAGGGUCAUUAUAAAAAAUCCAAAUUCCGAGGGGGUGGGGGUUAGAGAGAAAGGACAAUACAGAAACCUUAUUAGGUCUUGAACAUUUUAUUUUGAGAACACUUGACGGAAAUGUAAAAACUUGCAUUUUUAAUAUUUCAUUAAUUUGAAUAUGUAACAAAUUCCGAGGGGGUGGGGGUUAGAGAGAAAGGACAAUACAGAAACCUUAUUAGGUCUAGAAAAUUGUAUUUUGAAAACAUCAACAGAAUUGUAAAUACUUGCAUGUUUAGUAUUUCAUUAAUUUGAAUAUGUUGUAUUAAGUUUUUAUGAAAUGGAGAGAAACUUAAACAAAAGAUAUGAGAAUAUUAAUUUGUUUUUUGUUUUGUUUUUUUAUUAAAAAAAAUUCUGUUUUGCUUUUAUAUCUACAAAAAAAUAUCAAUGUCUUGUGAACAUUUUAAGCCAGUUUUAACAGUCUAUAAAGUAAUUUUGUCAUUAAAAAAAAAAAAAAAAAAAAAAAAAAAAAAACCCUCAUUAAAAUAGUCACGUUUCUUUUGUUGUUCAGUGUAAAUGCGGUCCACUGACGACAGUGAAAUUUGACUUAUUAAUCAAUUCUUUAUGAGCUUCUAUGAAUCCAAAAUUGGACAUGCUAAUUACAAGCAUUCAAACUGAAACUCAUUUUUUAAUGUUUAAUAUCCAAGAAUAAUAGUGUGUCACCUUAAAUUAAAAUAAUAAUCAUAAUCAUAAUCACACUGAUUCAUGCCAACAUUAUUUUGGGCUGUUCCAAUAUUUAUCACACUGGGGGAGACGUAUAUUAACACACACACACACACACACACACACACACACAAAUAAAAUGAUUUUCUUUUAAUUUAAUCCAUGUCUUAGUAUUGGGGAGUGUGUGGCAGACACACAAGUAAAAUUAUGGCGGUGCCUCCUAACACACACACACACACACACACACACACAUGUACCAUAAUGGAUAAGUCCUUAUCAGGAGUUAUUAAAAUUUCUGUUUCAAAACCAUUUCAAGGACCACAUUGCUGUCUAAAUGAACAAAUUAUUCAACUGAGACAUACUCAAUGAACUUGGAUAUUGUUCACAGAACAAUUGAUAUUUUACUAAUUACU
Molecule: long non-coding RNA, 3359 nt
Organism: Gigantopelta aegis
Lineage: Eukaryota; Metazoa; Mollusca; Gastropoda; Neomphalida; Peltospiridae
Exons: 2
Source: RefSeq, a predicted model, not a curated record